AGAGACAAGGCAGAGGAAAAGGGGUGAGAACAGGAGAGCAAAACACAAAGACAACUUUAUUCCUGUCAACACUGGGGUUAAAUGAGGGUGCCUUAGGUGUGAGAUCUUCAGGGCUGUUCUGGCCUCCCCCUGCUCCUGCCUGACAAUUUGGGAGAAAAGAUGUCCUUGAGAGCUGCUCAGAUGUGCCAGAAAAUGGAAGCUGCACAGCAAGGAGAAGUAUAAACACAUAAAACACUUUCUGGCAAAACAGAAGUUCUGCCUCAUUGCAAGUGUGAAAGAUGACCUGAAACCCUUUCUGUUUCCUUCCUGCAAGUUCCAGGAGGAUUGUGUCCUGCAGAGGAAAGAAAAAGAGGGAUGUGCUGGGCUCCAGGGAAAUGGGAGCUAAGGGCAGCUGAUUUGGUUGCCUCCAGAAAUGCCUCACUUGUAUACUUCUCAAAUGCAGUUGAGAUGUGGAUGAAAACAAAGCAAAGUGCUUGCUGGAAAAGGAAACAGCUGCCUCUCCAACUCCAAGCCACCCACAGCGUGCGAUGGGCAGGACAUAUCACUCUCUCUGGAAACACAGUGUAUUCCUGAGAGGCAGCUCCAGAAGUGCCCAGGGCUGAGGAGCUCUGGGACAGAGCAUCCUGUCCAAGCAGCCUGCAAGAAAGCAAAGCACUCCACAGAACAAAGCUGUGGACUGCCAAAGCCUUAAGGCUCUCAUGGAGGGCUUUGGGGAAGCAGGGGCAAUUAGGAGUGAUUUUUUUCCACUGAUUGUUUGUAUCUAUCUGCCGUCCCCUCAUGAACGCUCUGGCCAGAAACAAAUGCAAGGAUAAGCAGAGAAAAAAGCAGAAUGGCUCAGGUGGGAAAUUCUGGCCUCUUGGAUAAACCUGGUUGGCUCCAAUGAGCAAACAGUGAAGGCAAGGAUGAAGAAUCUCUAUCCUACUUUACCCUUCCUUCUCGUGGUUUUCUCUCUAUCUGUUAUGAAGAAGAUCAAACAGGUCUGUCAUGUUACUGCAUAGAUGACCCUCCUUGUCAGAGUGCCAAGAAGUCAGGCUAAGCAGUAAAACAGGCGAGCUGACAGAUAACAGGCAGCAACCUCCUCUUUGCACCGCAGGCGGAUGUCACGGUGAGCACCUGCGGAAUACGUCUUCAUCCUGAAAAUGCCCCUGGCCCAAAGUCCACAAAAGAACCUGGAGACCUGGGAUGAACAAACAUCAUCCACAUUGGAAGUCUCUCACUUAGCAUGACUCCCUCAAACCAGGUUUGGUGACCUGAAACUGCUCUGUCAAAUGCCACUGUUAGACACAGCGUUCGUUGUGGUCGAUCAGAAGAGGUUACCUCUAGAGAGUAACUUUUGGUUAAAAUACAAAAGAUAAUAACCACUUUCAUGAUGGCUGACAGAGCUAAAGUCAACACUCGCAGCUGGAAGCCUCAACAACUCAAAACAACUCCAAUCAAACUUAGGACAGGAGCGCAGGGGUAACCCAGAUCUGGCAAUGGCCCACCACUGGUGCUGAUGCUGAGGUCACUGUCGUACUUGCUACACCAAAUCUAAACAACAAAAGAGCUUCUGAUCAGACAGUUCAUUUAGGAGGGCAAGGUCAGACUGAUACUGGAAUCCUAAUUUAUGCCAGACUGGGAGAAAAGAAAUUAAAAAAAAAAAAAAAAUUGAAGAUAGUUUUCCAAGUCUGGCUUGGAUGACAAUAAAGUUCUGUGAGAGAACUGUUUUGGAGAGAUUUUGUUUCAGACUGAGUGCCCUGUCACAAGGUCAAUGCUUAACAGCUUGCCAAUACACUGACUUUAUUUCCAUUAGCAACACUACAGACCCUUAAUAACCCACCUACCUGCCUGCGUGGACUCAUGGUUUCCAUGAACUGAACUGCUGAGCUAAUAUUAAAAGAAAAACUUAAGGACAUGCAAACCCUGAGCCAUCCCUGCCCUUCCAGCCCAAAAACAACCAGCCAGCAGCACAGCCUGUAAUGGUACUGCCAUACUGCUGAGAGCAAACACAAGUUCUUGUUUGCUCCAGAAGCUCCAUCCACAGAGCAGAGUAAAUCAGCAACGCCGGCAGCUCUGGGCCACACACCCCACACAGAUCAAAGGCAGGAGGAAGAGUGGAGGCCCAUCUCUGUUAUGUGCCCCCUAUAAAAUUAAUGGUUAUGUGAAGGGGACUGCACAGUCUUAUGUAAACACUCAUCAGUGAGCUGCAGGGACACAGUCUUGGCUGCAGUAAGUCAAUCGGGGAGAGACCAUCCAGGGUCGGCUUCAAAUGUCGAGAUCAUCUGUGUGACCGAGAGAAAGAGAAGCCCUCAGACAGAGUCAUUUCCAAAAGCAACAUCAUCUUGCAUGGGCUAGAGGAGGAGGAGGAGGAGGAGCAAAGAUGUCCUAAAGACAGCAGGAAGGGAGGAGGUGCUGCUGGAUAAGCUGUUGCAAAGCGUAGGGGAUUUUACAAAGCAAAAUAAAGCUUCAGCAAAAUGUUUUGGUCAUAUUCUGUCGCAGUGAUAAAUGGCAAGGUGGAGCAGAAGUUCUAAAGUGGCUUGAUCCUUAAUACAAGUAGUAAAUUACUGCACAUUAGAGGAAGGAGUGGGUAAAGGAGGAUGGAGAUAACUUGAGCCUCAACAGCUCCAACAGUUGGCAGUGUGGUGAGCUUGGCCCUGGCCAAAGCUCUGGCAGAGCUGUUCUGGCCUGGAGAGGGAUGCUGACAACCCUGCAAGCCAAGAGAAUGAAUCCAUAAGUUGGCCAGGCUGCCUGGGCCCCUUUACAAAAGCCACCUGAACUGCAGCAGAGUCACCACACCACUGCUGCAUGUAGUGCCUGUGUCACGUGUGUCUUGCAGGCACAGCCAGCUUGGGCCAACCACGUGGAAACAGGCCUGCCUGCCCCCACGUGGGCCAGGUCUCAGUGGCAAACUCCAAAGAGCUCCAAAAACAACCAGGAGCCAACAAUCUUGACAGCCACAAGUACAAAUUGCACCUAUUGGGGGUUCCUCCUCUCCUCACAGCAGACUCUUUUGGGGUGAGACAGAGGUGGGGCUGCAUAGGAGAUGAGCUAGACCCCCUUUGCAUAUAAACAGUCAACACAGAAAGGAUGAGUCAACAGAGAAGCGAUAAAAGCUACCGUGAACAUUUCCAAGCCCAUUCCACAGCGAAGCCCAGCCAGCAGACAGACCCAGAGCUUCCAGAUCACCAAAUUCCUCGGCUUUGCACAGACAGAGAACCCACACUUGUAAUUAGCACCUCCAGAUCCUGUGUGUUUUGAACCUGAUGUUGCUGGGACCGGAGCGAUGCCGGCGCUGGCACGCGGGCUGCAGCACGACCGUCCGCCCACGACGGGCUGCUCAGGAAGCAUCUCUCCGUGCCGGCGCCUCGCUGGAAGGCACUGGAGGGCUGUAAGUGACUGCAAGCGCUGUUUAUCCAGCUGUGAGGCUUGUGGAGCAGCGGGGGAUGGAAGGAGGGGACGGAGAAAACGUGUCAGGAGUGGACGAGUGGGAGGAAGCAGUGGUCUCCUGCAAAGAGGAGACCUCCAGAGUACCUUUGAAACUGAACAUUGAGAAAACAAAGAAUUCUUGUAGGGGUACCCAAGGUCCCUCCAAACAUAUGGCCUCUGGAAAUCAGCACCAUCUGCACUGUCCCUUCUCAGCUGCUCUGGUAUUUAUGCAGACAGGAAACUUCCUUAAAGAAGCUCUGCCUUUCCGUAGCCCGAGUGAGCAAACGAGCAGCCACCUAAGGGUAGGCCACCUUCCUGCACGUACAGAAAGACCACACCUGUGCUGAACAGCAAGGCCAGGCCACAGAGCCCUCUGCUCACUUGAUCAUCCUCAUGGCCCGUUCAACCAGCAACUGACCACAACAGAAGUGCAACGAUUCCUUUUCUCUCAGCCACUAAGAGGGAUAAAAUGCCACCCUCCACGUUGUAGCCUCUUUGGCCUCAGAAAAGGAGAAGCUUAGCUUUGUAAGCAGGUCAAAUUUAUCCUAGCCUGGAGAGUCUCACGUUCCAGACUAUCAGAUGUUAAAAGCUGGACUUAAGAGGAGCAAGUUUGGUGAGAGGCCUUCUGCUGAUGACAGAGAUAUUCUCCAGCUUGAGAUGGCAGGGCUCUCCAGACCAAGAGGAUCACUGAAAUGAUCCCAUCCACUUACGGGCAUUUCCUGAAGUCUGGAAAAGUGUCCAUUUUCAAAAGGUUCCCAAAUGCUGUUGCUUAUUUUUUUCCCUCUAAUUUCUUGGAUUCAGGCAGUACAGUGUCUGCAUAUCUUCCAGCUUGCUCCAAGAGCUCACAUACAAGGGUUUUAUUUUUUCCCUCUUGUACAGCAUACACAAGACAAGGAGGAGAGAGAGGGAGCAUGAAGAAAUUAUUGUUGCUUACUUGGGUCAUGCCCACUACACACUCCGGCAGCAGGGAAGAUGUAAACAUGUAAUCCAUCCCUGUGAGGAAAUCCAGCCAUUUCACAGACCCAGAAGCCAGCCUUAGGGAGUUAGAGAGAUACAGUUACUUCCUGACAUUCAGGGCUAUGUUAAUUGAUAACAAGAUAGCUGUGGCCAGGCAAUUAGUUAUGAAAUGCUGAUUAAAAUGUCAGCUGCCUGAGCACGACCUUACCCAGGGUGGCAUGGAACCCCUAAUUCAUGGUUCCAUGAGCAUUCAGUGCAGACUGACCCCAUUUCAGAGCAGGAUACCCCAGCUGGGUGCAUGGAGCACAAACAAUGGGUUUGGGCUGUUUUAAACACUGGCCAUGCUGCAGUUUUCACACAACAGAUCCAGAGUACUCAUGUUCUUCUAGAUCCAACUUCCCUACCUCCAUCAGGGGAUAAAUGAUACAAGGGGAGGCGGAGGGAACAUUAACUCAGAGAACUUCAAAUGAAAAGGCAAAAAUGCCAUGUGCCCUGCCAUAAUUCAUCAUUAUUAGCUGUAGCUGGAAUUAAUGACAAAAAAAUCUUGAAAAUAAUAAUACAUUUUUUAGCACUGACAACCCAAAGCACAACCUCCAGUAAUUUUGUUUCAGGUUUUGUCAGCAGUGGCAGACAAUCCAUGUGGAUAACUCACUCCAGAGAGCAGAAGGCCCUUGCAAAAGGCCAGGCUCCCCAUCCCUAAAACAUUCCCCUCUUGGCUACACCCUUGCAGAGUGACAAGAGGCUCUUCAAAGGAUUGCAGAAAUGUUGGACAGUGAAAGGACCAUCAGGAUUUCACUGCCAAAAAAUCUGACCAACGCUAAGCUGAGGCACCAGGUUAUGCCAGUCAUUCAAGCUCGCCCCCAAAAUCAAACCCAUGACAUCACCGAGACUCGGCAGCUAAUAUCAGCAGCUGUUGAGGAUAAAAGUCACUGCUCAGGCACUCUGAGCAUCCCAGCACACCACCACCACCACCACCACCAGCCCAAGCCAAGCAGAAGGCCGCAAGCAUAGCACCAAAAAAAGUCCAGAGGAUCCUAUGGUCAAGGUGAAGACCCACAGAAAAAUUAACGUGAUUAAGCAUUAGUCUCAAAAAUGAAAGAGGGGGUCUGAUAAUGGAGUUUAAUCUCAGAUGCAUCUCCAAACAUCUCUGCUUGUUUCAAAACAAGGACAAUGGGAGCCAGUCAGCCUCCAGAGCCAGAAGAAUCUGAUAAGGGAGUAAGAAGGUGGCAUCUGAAAGCUCUGGGGAGAUCCAAACCAGUUUGAAAAUUGCAGCUGGUUGUUCAAGAGGAGUCUGUCAUUUCUGCAUCGAGGAGCUGGCCGCUUCUCCAGCGCUCGGCCAAGCCCUGCACAAGCCCUAUUCCUCAGAGAGCUGCAGAAUUAGGAAGGGAACCACAAGGAAAACAUGGCCACAGUAAAUCAUGGCUGGGUAAAGCAAAAACCAAAAUCCAUGGCAUUUUUACUUCCUGCUGAAAACAACAAUCUCUCUCAUAAUGUGGUUGACUGGGAAAAAUAGAAAGUUGGACCUUACUAUAGCUAAUAAUUAUCUGAAUAAAUUCUCUGCUCAUGCACUUCAAAUGCAAAUGGCACACUUUAUUCACUUGGCAAAUUACAUAAUUCAUUUUAAUGCUAUAUAAUUUUUGCUAUUAGCAGCUGAUUUUAAUAACUAGCACACUGUUACUUUUUUUUCCCCCCUAAUUUUUGUUUUUCUUCUCUCUUUUCCAUCUGCUAACUCUUUUCUUCUUCCUUCCUCCUUCCAAAAUACUUUGCAACUUUUAUAAUAGCAAAUUCUGUCACCUACCCAGGGACGAACAAAAGACCAUUGUGUUCAAUUUAUCUUUUAAUAGACUCCUUCCUUAAAUACC
This is a long non-coding RNA of Parus major (Great Tit), 6224 nucleotides long. RefSeq lists it as uncharacterized. Lineage: Eukaryota; Metazoa; Chordata; Aves; Passeriformes; Paridae. The transcript has 3 exons. The record is from RefSeq and is a predicted model, not a curated record.